This is a long non-coding RNA of Bubalus bubalis (water buffalo), 4349 nucleotides long. RefSeq lists it as uncharacterized. The record is from RefSeq and is a predicted model, not a curated record. Lineage: Eukaryota; Metazoa; Chordata; Mammalia; Artiodactyla; Bovidae. The transcript has 5 exons.
AUUAAUAUGCUGUUUUCAUAGUCUGUGUUUAUUUCCAUUGAAAACCAUGUAAUUAUAGAUUUUAUGGUCUUUAUAUAUUGUAGGAAGAUAACUUUCUUUAAACCAAUAAAAUUUUACUCAAAAAAAAAGUCAGUGGCUAGAUUAAUACAUCCCUAUGGAAAUGUAAGUUUUAAGAACCAAAUGAGAAAUAUGUGCACAUAGUUAAAACAGAAAGGUUUCAAAAGUACAAUUUGGAAAUGUACUUCUAAAUUGUUUUGUGUGGAUUUAACUUCAGAAAGUCAGUUCUAUCUAUACAUUUAGUGUGGGAUUUAUUCCAGUAAAAGAGUACAGGGACUCUUUCUGUAAUGCGAAUAGUCAGCUCCUAAAUCAACUGGAUUUACAGGGUACAUACCUUUUCUCUGCCUUCCUCUACCAAUCUGAAAAUGAGAUAUUUGAACAUUUUGAUAUAUUAUAGAAAUAGACUGGGUUUUUUUAAUAUUAAAACAAAAUUAGUUCUCCAUCAAGGCAUACUCAGCAAUGCAUGUCAAGCCUUGGUCAGAGCAGUUGCUAACUCUGUCAGGGUUAAAGGAAGUAUGCUGAAAGGAGAUAACUGAAGUUAAACUGCUCAGACCAAGGCUUCCAGAUUUUUUGUGUGGGGACUUGGACUCCUUAUUACUGCAUUCUUCCUGUCUGUGUAAUACCUGGGAACAAUUUAUUCCAUGUAAUCCCACCCCCAUCUUGGUAGUAAACUUUUUUUUUUUUUUUUUUUUUUGCUGAAGAGGAAGACUUUCAGGCAUGCCAAUGUAUUUAAUCAGAAUUUUCUCAGAUGACAUUGGAAGAUUUUCGGGUUUUUAUUUUGCAGCUUGUAGGCAGGUUGGGAUUUAAGAACAGUACAGAUGCUUGUGUGUGUGUGUGUGAGAGAGAGAGAUGUGGUUAUAUUGCAUAUGUGCUUGUGUGUGAGUGGCUCAGAUUAGAAUGUGAACUGUAGUAAAGGCAAAAGUGAAAGUUGCAACAUGGCUCCCAUGCCCCUGACCACUUCCGAAAGAACAUGCCACGUGGGCUGCAGACUUACAGACUUAAACUUGGAUCCACAGGACAAAAGAGUCCUAGUCCUCCAUGAUAAAAGCCUCCAGUAGAAUAAAAUUAUAAAACCUGUUUACUGCUGUUCGUGUGAACUCAAACAUUCAGUUGCCUCAGUUGCAAAAUUUUCAACAAAUAAUUAGGAUGGUUUAAAUAUUUGGGACUAGAACCAGAGCCUCACCAUACCUUCAAAAUAAUCUUGCAGCUUUUUCCUUUACAUGAUCCAGUUCUUUGAAACCAUUUAUAAUCUGCCUUGUGGUCCUGAAAUGUACAAGUUAUAAAAGAAAAAAAAUGUGAGCUUGUCAGAUUAACUACAAUCACCAGUCUAAUAAAACUGAGUCACAUCCAAAUGGGCUGCACUUACGCUACCCUCCCAUUCUAGGGAAAACGUGGCUGGGGGAGGCAGUCUGAGUCAUCACCUGGUUUGUUUGACAUACGCUUCCUUCCAUAAAUUGGGAAUGGCAAGCAGCACAGUGUUCCCGGCUUGCCUCGGAGACGGAGCUCUUGCAGCCUUGCAUGAUCAAAAUAGGGCCUUUUAGGUUUGAAGGUUGAAGCUAUGUCCAUAUUUUGGCUUCAGAUGUCUAGGGGAGAGGGAGAAAUCGGACAGACCCAAACAAAGAACAAAUGUAAGUACCAUUUUGGGUGGGGGAUAAUGAAAUGGUAGGGUGUCCACAGUUGAAUGUUUCCCAGGAUAUAAAAAAUAAUUGAGAACUACAUUGGGGGUGUUAGAUAAAUUAGUAGCUGGCUCACUAAGCGGGGGGCUCAUUUACUUAACGAGAAUGUUCUCAAUGUGAACAGUCCAAAAUGAUUACAUGAGAGAGAGUGGAGAAAGAAAGGGGUGGGGGGAGACUGAUGAUUUGGUUGUUACGGUACAAAUUGGUCCUGACUGUGUUUAAUUUUGUCUGAACUAUGCAACCAUUUUGAGAUAAAUGUAUUUCGUUGAAGAAACUUUUUCACAGCAGACUUUGAAUCUCCUUUAGUGGUAUUUGGAAGGGCUGAAAAGAGCGGGGUCUCUCGUGUCUCACCCAUUUUUCCUCCAGCCGCUGUGUGGAGGCUCACCGGAGCUUUUCAGAAUAAAGAAGUUAAGAAUGCAAAAUUGUUGGGGAGACUGAAGAGGAAGGGGAAAGGAGGAGUAGAUUUAUAGCUGAAGUGGGUUUGUAAACUCAGCCUCGGCUUCGGGAUUAUUUUUUAAUAUGUGCCAGGCACUCCUCUGAUUUCCAUCCUGGCUUGGUGGUGGCUUUUUGUCUGUCUGUGUGAGGCUCGGGUGUUCCCUAUUUUAAAGCCGGAGUUGUCACAGCCUGGGCGUUUUCUGUUUCGGCUUAUGGCUUUUUUUUUCCCCCUCUUUUCCUGAAUGAGUGUCCUUUGUGUAACCCCAGUAAUUCAGAAAUCCUGCAGUCAUAGGGACUGCCCUGUCAUGUGACUUAGGUACUAGGUGCUGCCUGCGAUUGGUCAGCAGCUAAUUGGCGGGUCCCUAUAAGAAGUCCCGCUUUGGGCGACCAGUCACUCUCCUGCCUGGGCUGCUGUUCAACAGGGGCCGGGGUGGGAAGGGAGGAGAGGGGGUGGCAAUGGGUGUCCAGUGAUUCAGCCACAUAUGAUAGAUGACCAAGGGACCACUUCCUUGGGGUCUGUACAUCAUUGGAAGACACCCAAAUUGGUUGUGGCUGCCUUGAUCAAACUCUGGCUCCCUGAACUGGAAUGAAAUGCAGAUAACUCUUUAGAAAACUUUCAUAGGAAAAAAGCGCCUCGUGUGAUCUGGAACAAAGACAUUUUCUAAUCAGAUUUAUCAAGCUGUGAAGAGGGAGUUUUAGCGAACGGAAGCAGCAGCAUUCUGUCACCAGGAAAUACUGCUUUAUCCAGAAUUGGUGUGACUAUAGCAAGAAAGGUAACGCAUGACAUGCGAAGUCUACAUCAACAGCAGAGCCCCACCCUGAAGGCUGCAUAUCAUCUAGCUGCUGGAAUGUGCAGCAUAAGCCAUUGGGCUUAAUCAUUGGACAGAGUGCAGUGAAAGGACCCCAUGAAAGCUGAUCGUUUUAGCAAAACAUGAUUUUGUUAUGAUUUCACCAAGAUGGGCACACAUCAGCCUGGGAAGCUCAGUGAACCAGAGACCAGGUGUAAUGCUACCCUUCCUUCUCUCUGCCUCAGCUCUCAAGGAUUGGUCACCUACAUGUUAUUAGCAGUAGUAUUUGAUUUCUAUUCCCAUUUACUAUCAGAAGGCAUAGCCUUUAUGGGCUUCAUCACUCUGCCCUGCUACCUCACCAUUCCUCCUCGUUUUGGCUUCUUGACCACCUGCGGGAGCCCAGUUUCUUUCUGUUCUUUUUCCACAGCCCCAUAAUUUUUUUUGAAUGACUUUCAGUCUCACCAGAAUCUGUAUCUCUCUGCCCCAACAUCCCACCCCAUCAUUUGCUCUCUGACGUGAACUCUAAAAUGGAUUUUUUGUUUUUGUUUUUUUGCCACUAUUCACCAUCUCUUAUGAAACCAGAAGAAGAACAGCUUUCUUAUGGAAUGAAAAAGAACUUGUAAAGAUAAACCACCAGUUUUCAGGAGAAAAAGAAGAAAAGAAUGUUGGAAAUAGCUUCUGGAAAACUUUUUCCCAUUAUGUUUUGUUUGUCUGUUCCUGGUAAAUAAAUUUAAAUCUCUCAGUGUUAAAAAAUAGAUAAACCAUUAAAUUCUCAGUAAUAAAGGAAUAUAAAUUUUAACCCUUGGUUAGAUGAACUGGAUACUUUUAGUAAGAAAAUAUGAAUUUUAAAUGAAUACAAGUUAACAGAUUUAAAGCAGAAAGUGAAUAUAAGGAACACAAAGAUAAAUGUCUGUAUGUAAUAGUCAAUUGUAAUGAUAUAAUGUAUUUUUUUCACCCUGUGCUGAAUCAGUAAAAAUAAAGUCAAUGACUUGGAGCUUUUAAAAUAUAGUGUAUGUGUGUGUAUCUUUUGACUUCCAAUCCAUUGUCUAUUUUGUACCUAAGUCACUGGCCUUUGUACCCUGCUAAGAGAAAGUCAUUCUACUUGAGCUACUUGACAGCCUUUGAAGAGUGAGAAAAGUCUCUGGGACACAUGAUUAUGUUUAUUAAAUUAUAAUUGUCAAGGAGACAGUUUUCUUUCUCCUCUCUUCACUCUUAUACUUAUGAUGUUCUGAGUCCCUUUAACUAUCCUUAAACAAGACAAUGUUGACAGUGGAGCCUAUUGUGAAGAAGAACUCCCUAGUUACAUGGUUAAGUUUUCAUUUCCUUCUCAAGUUUGAUGGACCAGUAUCAAAUUGAUCCCCAAAGCAAGAAUAAAAGUGCAAAUAACCAAGAA